Molecule: transfer RNA, 76 nt
Filed under: Roseomonas gilardii
Lineage: Bacteria; Pseudomonadati; Pseudomonadota; Alphaproteobacteria; Acetobacterales; Roseomonadaceae
Description: tRNA-Asn
Rfam family: tRNA
About the family: Transfer RNA (tRNA) molecules are approximately 80 nucleotides in length. Their secondary structure includes four short double-helical elements and three loops (D, anti-codon, and T loops).
Source: RNAcentral
UGGGACGUAGCUCAAUCGGCAGAGCGUGCGACUGUUAAUCGUGCGGUUGGAGGUUCGAAUCCUCCCGUCCCAGCCA